This 908-nucleotide ribosomal RNA is filed under the name Sarcophaga benaci. RNAcentral's name for it is "eukaryotic LSU rRNA". It matches the Rfam family "Eukaryotic large subunit ribosomal RNA", at positions 170 to 916 of the family's 3401-position model. Lineage: Eukaryota; Metazoa; Arthropoda; Insecta; Diptera; Sarcophagidae. The record is from RNAcentral.
AAUUAACGAUUUAAGUCCUUCUUAAAUGAGAGCCAUUUACCCAUAGAGGGUGCCAGGCCCGUAUAACGUUAAUGAUUACUAGAUGGCAUUUCCAAAGAGUCGUGUUGCUUGAUAGUGCAGCACUAAGUGGGUGGUAAACUCCAUCUAAAACUAAAUAUAACCAUGAGACCGAUAGUAAACAAGUACCGUGAGGGAAAGUUGAAAAGAACUCUGAAUAGAGAGUUAAAUAGUACGUGAAACUGCUUAGAGGUUAAGCCCGAUGAACCUGAAUAUCCAUUAUAGAAAAUUCAUCAUUAUGAUUUUAAUAUUAAUAAUAUUAUAAUAAUGGUGUGCAUUUUUUCUAUAACGGACAUUGUAAUCUAUUAACAUAAAUAUAUUUAUCAUAAGAUCAAUGAUGCGUAAGUUUAUUCAAAUUAUUUUGCUUGCAAUUUAACAUAGAAUAAAUGCUCUUGAUUUGAUAAAGUGUUGAUAGAUUUAUUGUAUAUGGUGCUGAAAUAUUUAUAUUUUAUAAUAGCAUAUUAAUCAUUGAUUUUUAUGUUUAUUAUAUGCACUUAUAUGAUUAACAAUGCGAAAGAUUCAGGAUACCUUCGGGACCCGUCUUGAAACACGGACCAAGGAGUCUAACAUAUUUGCAAGUUAUUGGGUAUUAAAACCUAAUAGCGAAAUUAACAUAACUUUAAUGGGAUUAGUUUUUAGAUUAUUUAUAGUCUAUUAAUUCAAUCCCGGGGCGUUCUAUAUAGUUAUGUAUAAUAAUAUUUAUAUUAUUUAUACCUCUAACUAGAGCGUACCUUGAGCAUAUAUGCUGUGACCCGAAAGAUGGUGAACUAUACUUGAUCAGGUUGAAGUCAGGGGAAACCCUGAUGGAAGACCGAAACAGUUCUGACGUGCAAAUCGAUGUCAGAAUGAGU